This 138-nucleotide ribosomal RNA is filed under the name Triticum aestivum (bread wheat). RNAcentral's name for it is "partial small subunit ribosomal RNA". The record is from RNAcentral. Lineage: Eukaryota; Viridiplantae; Streptophyta; Magnoliopsida; Poales; Poaceae.
AUGGAAAGUGUUCAAUUAGAACAUGAAAACACGACUCAAUUAAUCUCAGUUUGUCUUCGGGGUGGAGUGGAAGAAGGGCGGAGACCCUCGAACGAGGAAAAUGAUCCCUUCGAAAGAAUUGACUGAGGAGGCAUAUGA